UCAGCUUUGGGAAGUAUUGAAGUGAAAAUAGUUUAGAAAAAGGUGUAUUUGGAGAAAAGGAAGAGAGAAGAUGGGAUGCUUCGAUUGCUUCGAUGGGGGCAGCAAAAGAGAACAAAGGAGAGAAGAAGAACAAUUAGCCUCCGAAGAAGCUCGUGCCAGAGCUGCCGAAGCCGCCCAAAAAAGGCAAGAACAAUAUGAAAAAUCUGCCGCAGGAAGAGCAGCACGUGCACAAAUGGCAGCUGCUGCCAAGCAAGCAACGAAUGCAAACCAGGGAGAACCAGUUCUUAAAGUACUUCCUUCUUUCUAAUUACUGAUGGUCGCCGUUUUUUCUACUAUAUACUUAAUAUUUUUUUAUUGUAUCUACUUCUCGUAUUAGUUAAAAACAAUACUCAAAGUUUUAGAUUCCUCUACCAUUGGCCCAAAUCCUUUCUUUUGAGAUUGAUGCUGUACUUGUCAAGCUUAAAUACUCAAAGAUAUCUGAAAAUAGAACUUUGAGCUUUGAUCCGGUUUCAAUUAUGUGGAUGCAGUGGCAGAUGGGAUGAGCAUUAGUUCUCUUAGGUCAACUUCUUUCAUUCAUUGUACUGAGAGUUGUAGUUUGAUGUCCAACAGUUGUAAAUAUGUUGCUCUUAUUUAAUUUACUGUUUUCUCCAAUCUAAAUAUUUGUAAACUAAAAUGAGAAUAAGGUGGAACAAAUCUCACAAUUUGUAUUUCCACCACUCAAUUUACUCUUCUCUUGUUUGUAUACACAUAUGUAAUUCAAAGGGCUUCUCAACAUUCAGUUUACAUAGGAAAGUAAGGCAUCAAAUAUCAUUUUUCGUUAAA
Non-coding RNA from Solanum lycopersicum (tomato), 822 nucleotides. NCBI's taxonomy places the organism in Eukaryota, Viridiplantae, Streptophyta, Magnoliopsida, Solanales, Solanaceae. The record is from RefSeq and is a predicted model, not a curated record.